AAGUUAUUGUGGAAAAAGAUAUAGCAAAAUAAUGAGUAUUCAAUUCCUGAAAAUUUGUCUUUGGAGAUUUUGUUUUCAAAAAGGUAAAAACAAAUUAGCUUCACCCCUCUUUGUAUUGGAAUAAAAUAAUAAUACUGUCACUCUAUUAAUAUGACUUUGGUAGAGAGAUUUAUAAUAUUCCUAGUAUCAUAAAAAUAACAUAAAAAUACACUCUCUUAAGCACUAUUAUGAAGGAGGCAUGAGCUCUUCAUAAAGAAAUCCGAGGAAAUAAAAAGGGACAAGUGUCUGAAACCUCAAAAAGAUAGAUCAUGAGAAAAUAAAAAGGGACAAGUGUCCAGAACCUCGAUCUAGAAAAAAGAGAAAAAAAGAGAAAAGAAAGAGAGCUCAUGGUUCCUCCUACAUAAUAUGCUAAGGAAGUGAAUAAUUUGUCUGGUCCAGGAAUAUGAUAUUUCCCUCCUUGGUCAUAACAUCAAAUUAAUAUCAUAAUCAUUGAUGCCACUAUAAUUAAGAGAAAGUUGAAGCUAUGUUUUAUUUGUGAACUUCACUUACUCUCCAGUAGACAAAAUUUAUGGAAGAGAAUAAUCUAUCUUAAGCUAUCCACUC
Molecule: long non-coding RNA, 603 nt
Filed under: Sorghum bicolor (sorghum)
Lineage: Eukaryota; Viridiplantae; Streptophyta; Magnoliopsida; Poales; Poaceae
Description: long non-coding RNA (SBIC_LNC007055)
Source: RNAcentral